GGGAUAUGAGAGGACGAGUACAUUGAAUUCAACCAUUACUUGUACCCGUAAUCUUCAUAAUCCGAG
Molecule: microRNA precursor, 66 nt
Filed under: Caenorhabditis brenneri
Lineage: Eukaryota; Metazoa; Nematoda; Chromadorea; Rhabditida; Rhabditidae
Description: microRNA cbn-mir-54 precursor
Gene: cbn-mir-54
Source: miRBase by way of RNAcentral